This is a non-coding RNA of Chrysemys picta bellii (western painted turtle), 4408 nucleotides long. NCBI's taxonomy places the organism in Eukaryota, Metazoa, Chordata, Testudines, Emydidae. The record is from RefSeq and is a predicted model, not a curated record.
GCCCCCAGCCCGAGUCCUGCAAGCCCAAGUCAAUUGACCUGGGUUCUGAGGCUCAGUGUAGUUGUAUCCUGAGACUACUUAACCUAUUACUGAACUCUGGGACAGAUUCACUGAAGCAUAAUUGCUCUUAAUGCGAAAUGGUUAUACUUGCAGAGAUGAGAGCAAGUAUAACCCUCCUGGGCUUUUUACUUGAAUAUAUUUUAAGCCUUUACAGUAUUUUUCUUCUGCAUAAGACCAAACAAAACUUUUCCAGUUUUAAAGUAAAAAGAGCCCCCUUGUUUCACUUCCUUAUCCUGUCAGGCUUUCUCUGAGCACAGUACUUUCCGUCCUUGGCUUUUUGAUCUGGCAGAUUCUGUUGGCAUCUCUCAAGCUUACUGUUAGCCAGUCUGUAAGCUUCUUUGGAUUCUCUGGAUUUCAGAAGGCUACUCAUGGUCCAGGAUCACAACUAGGACCCAAGUGGUAGUUGUGUUGUUUCCAUCUUUUGUUUUUUAAAUGGAUUAAAUCUAUCCGGUGACUUACAGUUGUGUUAUAUGUUUGACACAGAUCUCUUCAGUGGAAUCCAGAACUGACAAUGCAGGGUUCAGCAAGUCACUUUGGUGUAUCUGAUAGUUGACUGCAUCUAAGCAGGACAGUUUAAGUGUGCUACUUAGGAUAUUUAAAAACGUUGCUAAAUAAAAUAUUACCAAAACUGUAUAUAUAGAUAGCAUUAUCUAAGUGAAAUUACAUUUAUAUACUAUUGUACUAUCAGCCAGAGCCUGCUGGCAGCAAUGUUCUACGGGACAUCAUUAGCAUACGAUGUGACUCACACCAUCCUGAACUAGGCUGUCUGGAGCUGUUAACUUAUGAAUUAAUGUGAAAUCUGCUGUUUAAUAAAUAGCUUUAUACUGCUUGUUUAGUGAUAUUCAGCAGCAGACUGUAAAGUUUCUCAUUGUGAGAGUCACCUGUAAGAUCAGGUUCCUCCUGAUGUCUUGAAUGAAAAUUUCUAUGUUUAGAAAACACCUGCAACUUGUUAAAGCUACUGCACUCGUUCAUCCAAAAUGUAACCUCAGAACAAUUCCAGCCCCUGUGCUUUCUUAGCCAUGCAAUGUCUUAAUUUUCUUCCUAGUUUUGUUUUCUUUAAUUAGGUUGUGCCCCUACAGCCCAAAGCAUGUAAAAAAUUUAAGUUAACCAGAGUUAAGAAUCUGGGUUCAAAUUCUAUCUAAACAGAGUUCUUAUUAAAUCUGUUUCCAACUGCUUGGCCAGCCAGUGUAGACAAACUGAUAGACAUACAGGCUGGCCACAUUAUGUCCAAUAUUGUUCAGCCAAGCGGUGUUAGAAGAGUGUUCUGUUGGCUCCCUUCUUAUGCACUGUUUCCAAACUCUGUUACUAGCCCCUUUGAGAGAAGCCCAUACUGCAAAGAAAUGUACAGAACAACUUGGUGUCCAGUGCUACAACUGCAGGGACAGAGUUGUGCAUAAUGCAAAGUUGAGGGAAGGUUUUUUCUUUAAGUGAUGCAUAAUUAACCUAUCAAAUGCCUCAAGUACCUUAUUAAAGCUUCAUCCUCCUAAUGCCCAGUGGAUGGGCAUUCUUGAAAAUGGGCCUUUCCUUGUGUUGCCUCUGAUGUGGGACUUGACAGAUGUCUAUUCACUGAGGACACUUCCUGGGCUUUUCAUUGGCAGCCCUUCUUUUUGCUGAGAGGAGAAAUAUUGAAAAUCAUUAGACAAAUACUUGUCAAGUAUGGCCUUGUCAGGUAUAUUUGGCCCCCAGUGCAGCAGGCUGGACUAGAUGACCUCUCGAGAUCCCUUUCAGCCCGGCAUUUCUAUGGUAAAUUAGGAAAUACAUAUGUGCUGCUGGAUCACUUAAUCAACUAAAUAUUGACCUCUUUUGGUGGGGCGGGGAAGGCUUCCUCUACAUAUGAUGAAGUCUCCCAUUGAGUGUGUGGGUCCUGAGAUGACACCAAAGACUGAUUUUGGACAUGCAGCCUCCUCCACAAGUGCCACAGGUAAAGACAAUUGUAAAUGAAUUAGUGCUGCUUUUAGCUUUUUACAUCUUGCACGUCUCUCCUUGAUUGCAGAAAUCUACAAGCUCUCAAAAUCAUCCAGUCUGAGGUGGCAGGGCUGCUGCUGUCAGAUCUUGUCAUGGGCUAAGAGCUCCCAGGUGCUGAGGUCAAUGUUGUAAGAUUGGAGAUGAGAAAAUGCCAAAAAGACUGAGAGAAAGGAGAUGGUGCCUUGUGCAACCAUCACUUCUUAUAUCUACAAUGACUUCCAUCUGAGGCUCUCAAUGCUUUACGCCUGCUACUUAAGUCUGAGACAUUGGGCCCCAACUUUUGGACUUUGGCUCAGCUCAUAAACUGACAAAUAAAAACACGACUUCACCCGUAACACAGCUUCUUCUCAAAGGCUGGUCUGGCCCCACCUAUGCUUGUUCUCAGCAGAUGAAGAGCUGAGGCCCAGAGUGAUGAAGUGACUUGCCCAACGUCGCAUAAUGAGCACCUGAUGGACAAGACUUUCUUCCCAAUCAACACAGACCCUUUGCAUCUGUCCAACAGUUGAAGGACAUAAUUAAUUCCAUCUCUGCACCAAAACCCAUCACUGCUGGAACGAGAGAAUCUGUGGACUACUAAUACAGUUGGAGCUGUGCUAACAACGCUUUCGGUAAAGAGAAGCGAAGAGACCAGGAGUGUCAACGGUCAGAGGCUUUGAACUUCCAGAUGCUACUUCUGCGUGGAGCGAACAUGCAGCCUUCGUUCGACUUACUUGAUUAAGUAGAAUUUACAUUUCUCUGGGGUUUUUAACCAAAAAUAUCAGGUAUGUUCCAUUUCCUGCCUGGUUAGCCUCCCUAUACUUCCUUUUUGGCACUAGCUUUCGAAAGCCACAAGAUAUUUUCCUAAGUGUUCAGUUGCCCCCUAGUGGGCUUCAGGAAAAUAACAUCCUCAUAGUUUAUGGCCACUGUGACCAAUCUGCACUAGGACAUACAAGAGCAAGAAAAAUCUUAGGGGCAUGUUCUAAGGAAAGACUGGAGUAACUCCACUGACUUCAACAGAGUUACUCUGCAUUCAUACUGGGGGAAUCAAGAUCAGAAUCUUGGUCGGUCUUUAGGAGAGGGAACACAGAUGCUUGCCCUCCUCUGUGGCUAUGGCAGAGUUGCUUUCCUCUAAGUGUCUGCCAGGAAAGAGAGCCAAGGGCACUCAAACCUUUCUCUAAUCCCCACUGUGAAACAGCAUUACACUGCUCUAGAAACAUGCUUGUGGAAUUCUGGGCCUUAAUAGCAAUUUUUAGUUUUGUGUCGUGACCAGGGUAUCAUGCUGUGCCUUGCUGAAGUGCAUAUAGAUAGUCUGAUUGCUUUCCCCCCCACACACAUCUGUUUAAAAACAAUUUCUCCCCUAGACUGACUGGCUCCCAACAUCUUUUACCCAUCUAAUGGUAUUUUUAAACAAUCUUCUUCAUACCAGCUGCAGCUCAGGUUCAACGUGGUGUGAUGGCCCUGGCCCACUCAAUUGCCAGUAGAGUUGGGAUUUGAUUUUUAAUACAAAAAUAAUGUAAUUUAACAUGCAGGCUCCUGUCCCCUACUGUUUGUUGCUACUUCAUGAACCUGUGCUAACAGUGAGGGAUGUUGGAAAAAAAAGCUCUGAUCGGUAAUACUACCCUUCCUCUCCAUCAAUGGGCAUGAAUUAUGAUCUGCAACAAAAUUGAUUAUUACCCCCACCUUUAUACCAUGGUACAGGACUCUUAAAUCCAGGAUCACAUGAAAGAGCUCAGUUGUAGCGGUCUGCUCCACCAAGGCACUUCUCCCAUCUUGCGCUACAUGUGCAGGAAUGCUGUCUAGAAAGCAAUGAUGCCUACGUAAUCUGUAACUUUCCUUCAAAAGGGAAGGAGAGUAGCCCCAGUUUGAGUUAGGCUUCAAGUACGUCUAAGACCAGCUGCUGUGAAACCAUCUUCCCAUCAAGUUUGUAACUGGUAACAAGGUUUUCAUACAGUGCCCUUUAAGUGUAUGGAUGGUGGGCAGAUCAGUGUGUAAUUAAUGCAGAAAUACCACCCUCUGCUCUGUAACUUAGCCCCUCCCUCAAAAAGAAUUAUUCCUUGAGGUUAGUAAUUAGGACCAACAGCUUUAGUCCAGAUGGUGCAUUCCUUUUCAAAGGGUGGUUUAAGUGUGUGCAGUUUAAAAAUCUUUACCCUAAAGAGCUGCUGUUUUCAGUAAUAUCCUAAAAUGAAUGAAAUAUAAGGUCUGAUAGAUUUACUUUGGGGAAGAAGUUACUGUCAAGCAAUGGCUCACUGAGGUUGAGAAGCCAGGAAACUGGGCAGUUAACUGUUCCAUCUCUGUGUGGUGAAAAAGCAUAUGGGCAACACUCUUGAGUAGACACUGAAAGUGUGCUGUUUUAAAAAAAAAAAAGAGCCACACAGCCUGCAAGUGCUUUAACUCACCUUGCUUU